CAGUCGCCGCGGUAAAACGAAGGGGGCUAGCGUCGUUCGGAUUUACUGGGCGUAAAGGGUGCGUAGGCGGACUGCUAAGUCAAGGGUGAAAUCCCAAGGCUCAACCUUGGAACUGCCUUUGAUACUGGUUGUCUUGAGUCCGGGAGAGGUGAGUGGAACUGCGAGUGUAGAGGUGAAAUUCGUAGAUAUUCGCAAGAGCACCAGUGGCGAAGGCGGCUCACUGGCCCGGAACUGACGCUGAGGCACGAAAGCGUGGGGAGCAAACAGGAUUAGAUACCCCAGUAGUCCCUGUCUCUUAUAC
RNAcentral lists this ribosomal RNA (301 nucleotides) under uncultured bacterium. RNAcentral describes it as "partial 16S ribosomal RNA". It matches the Rfam family "Bacterial small subunit ribosomal RNA", at positions 509 to 807 of the family's 1533-position model. The record is from RNAcentral.